AUGUGCCUGUUCCUCCGCCUCACCGGGACCACGGCGAACUAUGCCAUCAUCGAUGCAACUCGGACGGAGAGGAAUGUUGUGCUCCACGUCGUCGAUCUCGGCGGCGCUGAUCCUGACCAGUGGCUUCUGCUGCUCCGCCUCUUUGCCAAGCGUCCGGGGGGCGCACACGAGCAAAUCCUCCGUCUGACCAUUGUCAACUAGGAGGACGAGUUCCUGUCCGUCACCGGUGCACUCCUCGCCCGGGAAGCCGAGAGCCUGCACAUCGGCUUCCAUUUCCACCCAGUGAAACUCCAAAUCAACCAGCUGCUCAGUAUCGAGCCCCUCGGUGUCAGGAGCGGCAAAACACUGGUCAUCGUCUCCACCCUACAACUCCACCGUCUGCUCGCCGACGAGUUUGUAGAAGUGGCUGCUCGCCCUCAUGACAGGAAAGGAAAAGCGCAGGCGCAUGCUACCAUGACGAGGGCCGACGCGCUCCUGCGCGACCUAGCGAAGCUAUCGCCAAAGCUCAUGGUGGGGACGGAGCCGGAGGUCAACCACAACGGCGAGUUCACGGCCCGGUUUGAGAACGCGCUCAACUACUACGGGGCCCUGUUUGAUGCCCUGGAGGAGAGCGUACCUACACGCGGGUCGGCGCUGGAGCGGGCGGACGUGGAACGGUGCCUGCUCCUGCAAGAGAUCAGGGACAUCGUUCCCUAUGAUGGCGCGCAGCGCCGGGAGCGCCACGAGCGGAUGGGAAAGUGGGCGGGACGGAUGAAGGCCGCCGGAUUCACGGCUGCGGCGAUGAGCGCAGAAGCAGUGGCGCAAACGGUGAUGCUGGGGCAGAUGGUGGCCGGCUGCAGCAGGGCAUACAGGGUUUCGAGUGAGAAGGAUGUGUGCUUCUUCAUCCACUGGCGCGACAUCCCGAUGUUCUCUGUCUCGACCUGGCGUGCGGUGUGA
This 936-nucleotide ribosomal RNA is filed under the name Triticum aestivum (bread wheat). Its description in RNAcentral is "partial small subunit ribosomal RNA". Lineage: Eukaryota; Viridiplantae; Streptophyta; Magnoliopsida; Poales; Poaceae. The record is from RNAcentral.